GACGAACCACACAAACGUUAUCCGGAAUUACUGGGCUUAAAGGGUGCGUAGGCGGCGCGGAAAGUAGGGUGUGAAAUCCCUCGGCUCAACCGAGGAAUUGCGCCCUAAACUACCGUGCUCGAGGGAGAUAGAGGUGAGCGGAACUUAGGGUGGAGCGGUGAAAUGCGUUGAUAUCCUAAGGAACACCGGUGGCGAAAGCGGCUCACUGGAUCUCUUCUGACGCUGAGGCACGAAAGCUAGGGUAGCGAACGGG
This 253-nucleotide ribosomal RNA is filed under the name uncultured bacterium. RNAcentral describes it as "partial 16S ribosomal RNA". It matches the Rfam family "Bacterial small subunit ribosomal RNA", at positions 524 to 776 of the family's 1533-position model. The record is from RNAcentral.